UUUACCAAUAUGUCAAAAUCUGCCAAAAGUACGUGGUUGUCUUCUAUGUUAUAAAGUUAGCAAAACCUCCGAGUCCAGUCUAUUGAUGAGUCUAUUGAUGAGUCUAUGACAGUCUAUGAUAGCUAGCUCAAAAUACAUGUCUAUACCCAUUGAUAAGUGUCGUGAAAAUCUAUUAACACAGCACCGUUAUUUCUUCUGACCGCCAAACCAACGCUAGCAUAGUGCUCCAUCUAGCGCUACCAACAGUGACCGCGGCGGGCCAGAAUUACACAGAAGACAUGACUUACCUUUAACGUUACUUUAUUCAAUGCAGAACUUUCCAGUUGUAACUGGAAAUGCCGAUUAGACCAUCUCGUCGUAAUACAAAUCCAAAAUAUUAAUAAUCCUCGAGCAGGGCUGCGAUAUGCAUGCCAUAGUUUUGUUCUCCAUUGUGUUUGUUUUCAGAAAUGAUAACAGUUGUUUUAUACUAGUGCUUAUGCGAAAUCACAAUUUUUGAUGAUCUUCUCCAAGAUCUGCUUUUGAGGAAAACAUUUCAUUGGCGUUCUGUUCUGCACCAUGAGCACGUUUGCCUACAACCAAAGCGCGCGCACUAUUAUACAGCGCCUGACAACCAGGCCUGGCGUCUGGGAGGGGAGGGGAGGGGUGGCAUAGCCCACAUACCGGUACUUCAUAAUAGAAACAACUUGCGGCACGAAUGUACCAAUACAAAUAAAUAUAACAUCUCCAGUUAUUUAGCUGAGCAUCAAUUGUAGGUUACAAUAAGUUUAAUUUAAUAAGAGGCGAUCUAGAGUUGAAAUGUUUUAUUUUUUAUAAUUUUUUUAUCAAGUGAUCAACGUGUUUGUUGUCGCUGCGGUCAGUGGCCCGGAUGCUGUGUACAGUCUGCACUGUAUAAGGUCUGCACUCGGACACGCGCUUCAAUCCGUUGUGGAGACGGUCUAUUCGUUCCGGUGAAAUUACUAAACAUAAAUAUACACAAACGUAUCCCUGUCUGAUAUACAACAACUGAUAAACAUAAUCAGUUUUGACAAAUAAAUAAAAAAAAAAACAUACGAGUGUGGGUUAAAACCCAAACCCGGACCUCUGACACGCUAGGCAAAAGUUCUACCACUGAAACAUUUGAGCUGACAAACAGAUAUAUUGUAGCUUGAUAUUCACUAUAGGAAGAAAGUGCAGCAUAAAAAAAGCAUAUGUUAGCAUUAAAAUCCCUUUAACAUUUAUGGUGAUCUGAGGGGGCGGGGGAGUCCAGUUAAUGGGGCGUAAUUCAUUAGCUUUAAUGAGAAUUGUAUAUUUUAUAGGCCUACAUUAAAGUGUAUUUCGUUUGUUAUAUUUUACAUUUAUUUCUUGAAUGCUACUAUUACAUCAACUGUAGCUGUAUUUAAUUUGUAUAUUAUGUUGUUUAUAUGAAACUUUCUUUGUUUUUAUAUUUUUAAUAACAGAUUGGUUACCUGAGUACGAAUGUAUAAAGUACAGUCACACUGUAUGAUUGUGAAUUUUUGUCUUUUCUGUUCUUUUACAGAUCACUAUUGCACACCAAAUGCUCUUACUCAACAGAUGGGGACAGCUACCGUCACCCAAUUUUCUUUCGCACAAGCUGUGCAAAAGUGGCUGCGCUAUGCGCCAGACCGGGCAGGAGGGACUGGACGACAACUUAUGCAGGCAUCAGAUGACAAUGAAGUGUAAAUAAAGAGUAGAGAGGCUAAUAAACAUGAAUUUGAUUUUAAA
This is a long non-coding RNA of Cyprinus carpio (common carp), 1722 nucleotides long. RefSeq lists it as uncharacterized. NCBI's taxonomy places the organism in Eukaryota, Metazoa, Chordata, Actinopteri, Cypriniformes, Cyprinidae. The record is from RefSeq and is a predicted model, not a curated record. The transcript is spliced from 2 exons.